UCGUAAUUCGUUGCAGGAUGGAAGGGGGCUGUGGUCGCGCGUGGGAACCCGCUCGCGGCUCGGCGGGUCUAGGGACUUCGGGUUCCUGAAUGUCAAAGGCGCGGGCAGCUCCUAGAGCAAAUUGCGGGAUUUCUUUGGGAAACGCGACUGGUGAGCCCUUCCCGGCUCCAGUCCACUUUGGGCGCUGGAACCACUCCCCGUUCUGCUCGCGCCUCAGUGACUGUCUACCCGGCCCAGGGCACCGUGGACAGGACCGCACACGAAGUAGUCACCUUCCGCUGCAGCUUUGGGGAGACAAGCGGAAUCAUUUUCUUCCAGCGAAUUCUAAAAUCGUUAGGUGCAAACUCUUUGAGUGUCGCACCCCUGGCCUGGGUUCUUCCUCCCGCUCCUUGUGGUGUGGACAGUGGUGAGAGCUCGGAUGUGCUGUUGUUGGCCAGAAGUGUGUUCAAAUUUGGACUGGCCAUUUCCUCGCUGAGUGACCUUGAGAAAUUGACUCUAUAUAUUUAGAUUUCGGUUUUCUCGUUUGCAAAAAAGGAAAAUAAUGCAUGCAUGCGGGUUGUUCGUGAGCCGCGAGUGAGAUAUUGAGGGAGCGCAGAGCACUGGGCCUGGCACGUAGUAGGCACUGGGCAGCGUGGCUCACCUCCCACUCUAUCCCCCCAGAGUAAUGGCUGAUGUAUUAUUGUUGUGACUCUUGUUUAUUUUGUUGGCAGUUUAAUUUUAUUUGCAGGGGCUCAGUACGUUGGAGAGAAAGGUGUAUUUGUCUACCAGUAGGGUCAGUUUCAGAGGACGGGGAAAGACAGGAGGUGCAGGUUGGGGAUUCUUUCUCUCUUCUCCCAACAAUCCAAAGGCGUCAGGAUUUGCAGGGCCUCCAGGCCUGGGUCUGGAGUUAGGUCACUUGCCCGCUGUGUGACCUUGGGCAAAUUCCUGGCCCUUGCUAAGCCUUCCUGGUGGGUGUGGAGAGGGAGGCCCAACAGUGAGGAGUGAGAGCUGCAGGAUGUCUGGGGUCUGGGCAAGUGCUCCCUCACUCCCUUCCAGCGACAACGACCCUCAGAUGGGGUAGAUGCCAUUGCCCUGGCUCCAGGGGGCCUCCUGCUUCUAAUUCAGGCUCUGCCACUGGCAGUGUGGGUCCCUAACCGCCCCUCCCAGAACCGCAUUUUCCUUAUUUGUAAAACAAAAAGGGCACCAGCUACCCCCAGGGUGGCUGUGAGAACAAAAUGAGAUAACAUCUGUGGCAGUGCCUGUGUGAAACUCUGGCGGUUAUAUCAUAAUAACUUUAAUGACAACUAUAAAGCUACUGUAGCUGAGACCCUAGCCUGUGCCAGGCAGGGAGGUGGACACUUAUUUAUUCUUCACAAUGACCCUGUGAGGAAAGGGCUGUUAGUGGCCCCAAUUUCUCACUAAUGAGGGAAUUGAGGCUUUGAGAGUUCAAGGGAAGCACAGCUCCCCACUUGGGGGCUGGAGUUGGCACCUCACCAGCUCCACUUCCCUUCUGGCUUCCAGUGCCCGGGACUCAGGGCUGCCCUUGUCACUUCAGACACUGUUAAAUCAGGACAACAAGGCCCACCGCACAGAGGUUUGUGGCACAGAAUUAAGGCGUGGGUGGCACAGCGCUGCUCCCAGCUUGUGUGCUUAAGAAUGGGAUUCCCACCUCAGUUUACCAGCUGUGGACUCAGGGAAUUAUUCAUCCUCUUUAUGCCUCAGUUUUCUCAUCUGGUAAAUAAACCUCAUGGGAUUAAAUAAGCGCCCCAGGUAAAGCCUGGCACGGGUCAGGGCUCUGCUUCACUGCUUGGCUUCCGGCUUCCUGAGAUCCACGGUCCCUCAUCGUCCAGCCCUGUCAUACAGAUGAAGGAGCUUUGGGCCACUAAUUAUAAGCCUCCUUUCACUUCCUAUCCAGAUAGCUCUUAGGCAGCUCAGGAAUGGGGGGAACUUGGUUAGUCCCUAGGACAGUGGUUCUCAGAGUGUGUUUCCAGAGCAGCAGCAUCAGCAUCACUGGAGAAUUUGUUAGAAAUGCAAAUUAUUGGACCCUCGCCAGACCUACGGCAUCAGACACUCUGGGGUAGGACUCGGCAGUCUGUGCUUAACAAGCCCUCCAGGUGAUUCUGAUGCCUGCUCAACUCUGGAAGCCAGUGCCCAGAAUAUGGUCCAUUCCAUCUGAGUUUUCAAAUGUGUUGUUGUAACAUUGUGGGAAGAUUCUCUCAGAAUUUGCAACUCUCAUACGAAUCUGUACUAAUGCCUUCCACUUCUCAUUCCCCGUGUCGCUCAUUCAUGCCUUCUCCUGAUCAUACUUGCCAAAGGUUUGUUAUUUUGUUGGUUUUUAAAAAAGCCUUUGAUGUCAUUAUCCCCUUUUAAGAUGCCACCUCUUUCGUGAAUGUUGCGGUUUAAAAAAAGAUUUAUUCCUUCUUUGCUGAGUUGAAAAUUUAAUUUGUCAAUUUUCUUUCUUUUUAAAUAAAUGCACUCAAGGGCAUACGUUUUCCUCUAAGCACUGUUUUGGCCAGGUAUGUUCUGAUAUGUAUUUGGUGUUCCUGAGGUUGUAAUUUCUUGCUGCCCUUGUAAUUUACCUGCUGUCACUUGAUCAGUGAGGCAUACACACUGAAAGAGAUUAGGAAAUGAGAAUUGUAAGAACUGGGGAUGAGGAUUCCCGGGGCUAGAGAGACUUUCAGAAUGGAGCACAUCCUCUCCUCUUCCCCAAGAAGAAGCUGGAAGAAAGGGGUACAGCUGGUGGAGGCUUUGCCGAGAGUCAUCUAGAAGAGGGUGGGGCUUCAGGGAUGACAGGCAAGAUGCUGGGAUUUCCAGCUGGCCCAUGAGCCCAGCUGUGGGAGGCCAGGUUCCUCCAGGAUCAUUCUGCCAUUGACUUCCUGAGGGAAAUGAGACUCCAUUUCCCUGUCUGUGAAAUGGGGUAGAGACUGAAUCAGGACUUUAAAUGUAUUUGGGUCAGCUACCCUAUUUGAAACACGGAUGAAAAUAUUGUGGUCUGCUUCCAUAGAAAAAGACAGAAACACAUAAUUUGGCACACACACCAUGUCACAGGUUGCUGACCUGCCAUGCUGUUCUUGGCUUACACACCCUAGUUAGGAGUCCCUAGGGGCCCUUCCAGUUUUCCUGAUGGGAGGCUCUAAAGACACUUGCCGAAAUUUAUUCGCCCAUUCAUUUAUUUAUUCAACGAAUAUUUACUGAGCACCUACUCACAUUUCCUGGACCAUUCCCCAGUGCAGGGGCUUGCUUUCCCCAUCUAACAGUGGGCACAAAGCAGUCUGAGCUCUUCAUCACUGCUUCCCCCAGUGGGCAGGACCUAGGGAAGAACCUUCCUGAGGAGGUCUGAUCAGUCUCAAGACUCUGCCAGCCAGUGGAAGGAAAAGGCCUUCAGAUGUCGGCUGUUGCUUGGGACCCCCCACUGCAGGUCACGAGGCUUCAAGGACAGUUGACUUAGGGAAACAGUCUCUUGUCCAAGGGCAUGUAGUAGACAGGGGUGGAGCUGGGAUUUGAACCCAGGACUGUUUAGACUACAAAGCCCACAUAUUCCCCUUUACCUCACACCCCUCUUUGGGGGUAGGUGGUAAAGACUCUUAAGUCACAGGACUGAGUGGGGAGGGGAAGCAGUGCAGGGUCCGGGUGAAUGAGCCCAAGAGUGGCGGUGAGGGCUGGCCAUAGUGGGGCUCACUUGUCUCCCCUACUGGCUUGGGAGUUCCUUUUGGGCAAAAUGCUGUUAGUGGCAUUUGAUCCCAUGUCCCAGGGCUGGGUCCAGGGCGUGGAGGACUGGAGGACAUUAUCAAGAGUUUGUGGUAUUAAACUCAAUAGCACAAAGCAAGGUCAGGCAAAGGGAUAAGAAAAAGGGGUCAGAAUUGGGCGCAGGCAUUUGCGUGCACUCAGUUCGUCAUUCACCUCCCCCAGCCCUGCUUAUGGCUGGUUCCUUGCAUCCUUUACAACCCAGGCCAGCCCUCACCUCUCUGCCCAUCCUCCAGAGCAGCACCCUCACCCCAUCAUCCUCUCUACCCAUUGAUUUUCGUCAUUCCCCUCGGAACCGAUCUUACUUAUCCUGCUCACUAGCUUUAUCUGUGGCAGGUGAAUGAAUGAGGGAAAGAAUGAUUUCCAAGGCGCUUGGGCUGUGUCAGACCCAGGACCUGGCGGGGAGGCUGGCAGCAGCCUGAGGAAGCUGACCCUAGGGCUGGAGGUUAGAGGAGAGGGAAGCAGGGCGAGAUUCCUUUCUCCAUGGGGUGGGGGGCUGGUGGAGGUUAUAAAGGGCAUGUGAACAGGGACUGUGCAGAUGGCAGCAUGCGCAGGGUGGCAGGAAUCGGUCAGUGUGCGCAGACUCGGGGGAGCAAGGGCAGGCAGGGUGGGCAAAUACAUGGGGUGGCCUUCUCAGGGACCUCCAAACCUGAUCUCAUGCCCUUGUUUCCUUCCCCUACACCUUAGCCAUUUUUCCCAUUUGUGCUCCGCAACUUUCCUCCUUUCCUGACAGAUUUCUCUACUAAAUUUGACUUCGUUUCAACACUUUCGUUGGGCAAAUUACAUUAAGAUGAAUGUUGCAGGUACCCUUUAUGGUUUAUUUAUUAUGAUACUGUUUGUAUCUCACGCUUAUAAAUAACUUAUGUUAUAGCUUUUGUUUGUGGAAAUGUAACUUACAUAUUUUAUUACGCUUUCUGUAAACCUCAAAAAGAAUCUUGUCAAGGAAGCACUCUUAUCAGCAAUCCAAACUAUGGGAUGUAAAAACCGACACUAACAUUAUUUUUUAAUAUGCCAAGGAGGCAGGUUACUCUUGCUGUGGUUUGAAAGGUUUGCUGUCAUUGUAAACUUGCACC
Molecule: long non-coding RNA, 4796 nt
Filed under: Homo sapiens (human)
Lineage: Eukaryota; Metazoa; Chordata; Mammalia; Primates; Hominidae
Description: HSALNT0097672
Source: RNAcentral